CAAAUACUCCCUCCCGUUCCAGAAUUCUUGCCUUAGAUUUGUCUAGAAAUGGAUGUAUCAAAAUACUAAAACGUGACUAGAUACAUUCAUAUUUAGACAAAUCUAAGAUAAGAAUUUUGGGACGGAGGGAGUACUCG
Molecule: non-coding RNA, 137 nt
Organism: Hordeum vulgare subsp. vulgare (domesticated barley)
Lineage: Eukaryota; Viridiplantae; Streptophyta; Magnoliopsida; Poales; Poaceae
Source: Rfam